CCAACCGCCAUAAAACCGAAGAAGAAGAAGAAAGUACUUCCGGUUUAGAUGUCUUUCGCCACAAAAAACCUUGAAUAGCUUUUGUCAUGUUGCGCAGUGUUUUUGUCACAUUUGGGACAACAUCUGCCUUUGUAAAGCGCUCCGUGCGACACACGCUUUUACCUUUGACUUCGGUGUCGUCACUGAGGACAUUUACGGACUCGAAGGACGACACGAAGACAUUUGACUCUUCUCUGCUGGACUUCCUCGUAUGUCCGCUGUCCAAAAAGACGCUCAGGUUUGAUGAGAAGACCAACGAGCUGAUCAAUGACGAGCUGGGCAUCGCGUACCCCAUCAUCGACGGCAUCCCCAACAUGAUCCCCCAGGAAGCCAGACUCUUAGAGAAGACUUCUCCUGCACAAGGACACAAUCUCCCAUCUUAAAUACAACCCAAUUCAUCUUGAUGGGCGCUGCUGGUGUUCAUUGAUCCAUCAGAAGAGUGUUUAUGAAGUUAGAAAUAUUAACCUGCUGCUUCCUGUCACCAUCCCUGUCUAUGUCUUCUUCCACCUGUGGAGCUGGAUGGGAAUCAAGCUCUUCAGGCAUAACUGAAAUGGGGGAAAAAGAAUAAAAAGAUGUUUACUGUG
This is an RNA transcript of Entelurus aequoreus (snake pipefish), 623 nucleotides long. It is a transcript of the gene named protein preY, mitochondrial-like, with no coding region annotated. The record is from RefSeq and is a predicted model, not a curated record. Lineage: Eukaryota; Metazoa; Chordata; Actinopteri; Syngnathiformes; Syngnathidae. The transcript is spliced from 3 exons.